RNAcentral lists this ribosomal RNA (505 nucleotides) under uncultured bacterium. RNAcentral describes it as "partial 16S ribosomal RNA". It matches the Rfam family "Bacterial small subunit ribosomal RNA", at positions 28 to 507 of the family's 1533-position model. The record is from RNAcentral.
GGCGAACGCUGGCGGCGUGCCUAAUACAUGCAAGUAGAACGCACAGUUUAUACCGUAGCUUGCUACACCAUAGACUGUGAGUUGCGAACGGGUGAGUAACGCGUAGGUAACCUGCCUGGUAGCGGGGGAUAACUAUUGGAAACGAUAGCUAAUACCGCAUAAUAUUAAUUAUUGCAUGAUAAUUAAUUGAAAGGUGCAAUUGCACCACUACCAGAUGGACCUGCGUUGUAUUAGCUAGUAGGUGAGGUAACGGCUCACCUAGGCGACGAUACAUAGCCGACCUGAGAGGGUGAUCGGCCACACUGGGACUGAGACACGGCCCAGACUCCUACGGGAGGCAGCAGUAGGGAAUCUUCGGCAAUGGACGAAAGUCUGACCGAGCAACGCCGCGUGAGUGAAGAAUGUUUUCGGAUCGUAAAGCUCUGUUGUAAGAGAAGAACGGGUGUGAGAGUGGAAAGUUCACACUGUGACGGUAUCUUACCAGAAAGGGACGGCUAACUACGUG